RNAcentral lists this ribosomal RNA (466 nucleotides) under Vreelandella stevensii. RNAcentral's name for it is "partial 16S ribosomal RNA". It matches the Rfam family "Bacterial small subunit ribosomal RNA", at positions 338 to 795 of the family's 1533-position model. Lineage: Bacteria; Pseudomonadati; Pseudomonadota; Gammaproteobacteria; Oceanospirillales; Halomonadaceae. The record is from RNAcentral.
CCUACGGGCGGCAGCAGUGGGGAAUAUUGGACAAUGGGCGAAAGCCUGAUCCAGCCAUGCCGCGUGUGUGAAGAAGGCCUUCGGGUUGUAAAGCACUUUCAGUGGGGAAGAAAGCCUUGGGGCUAAUACCCUCGAGGAAGGACAUCACCCACAGAAGAAGCACCGGCUAACUCCGUGCACAGCAGCCGCGGUAAUACGGAGGGUGCGAGCGUUAAUCGGAAUUACUGGGCGUAAAGCGCGCGUAGGCGGUCUGAUAAGCCGGUUGUGAAAGCCCCGGGCUCAACCUGGGAACGGCAUCCGGAACUGUCAGGCUAGAGUGCAGGAGAGGAAGGUAGAAUUCCCGGUGUAGCGGUGAAAUGCGUAGAGAUCGGGAGGAAUACCAGUGGCGAAGGCGGCCUUCUGGACUGACACUGACGCUGAGGUGCGAAAGCGUGGGUAGCAAACAGGAUUAGAUACCCGGGUAGUC